Long non-coding RNA from Meriones unguiculatus (Mongolian gerbil), 1013 nucleotides. RefSeq lists it as uncharacterized. The record is from RefSeq and is a predicted model, not a curated record. NCBI's taxonomy places the organism in Eukaryota, Metazoa, Chordata, Mammalia, Rodentia, Muridae. The transcript has 4 exons.
CACAGCUUUCAUUGAGAGAGGACUCUGCCUAGUCCCCAAAGGUGGCAGCUGUUGUACCCAGCUUCCCAAGGAGUGUGUUGAGAGGCCAAUGGUGGAUGGUUGACUCCAGUGGUCAGCGUUGCUGCAGCUCCUGCCUCCAGGUCCCUGCCCUGUGUGAGUUCCUGUCCUGACAUCCUUCCGUGAUGGACUAUGACACAGAACUAGUACAGUUUAUUAUGGCCGGCAGCCAAGGCAGACACUCAAGACAGGAAUCUGGGGGCAGAAACAGAAGCAGAAGCCAUGAGAAUGAUGCUACAAUUAACAUCGUAAUGAGGUGCUAAUGGCAAAGCUCAAGACAGGCAGCUGCUUUGGUUCACAUCUGGCUUCUCAGUCCAGUGAUGCUUGGUGGGAGGUCAUGUUCCUGGGGCCUAUUGCAGGGUCUGACUUCUCAAGAGUCUUGGUACAUGAAACAGUUCAUUGGUGACUGCCCGUGUGCUUUCUGGCCCUACAAGCAUGCUCUUCCAGGCACUGGGCUGGGGAGAGGUACUGGAAAGCUAACACUAUAAGGACAAAGAGUUCCUGGUUUAUAGUUCCCCCUCCUCCCUAGUGGUCCUGAGGAUUGGCCUUCAAGGAUUCUGGGCUAGUAAGAACUCUACCAUGAGCCAUGUCUGUAGCCCCUUCCUUGUCUCUAGUGCCUUAACACAUCAAUUCUGAGAUGUGUUCUGUAGUUUGUUUGCUGGUUUCUUCCUUUUCUCCCCCUAGACAAAGUUUGGUCUAUAGACUCAGAGAUCCAACUGCCUCACUUCCUAAAUGCUGGAAUUAAAGAUGUGUGCCACCACUGCCCAGCCCAGCUGUGUUCUGUAGUUUUUUAGGUUGCACUAAGCAGAAUUAAGCCCAUCACACACACACUAACCCCUCAUUAAUGUACCCUUCAACAAUUAUCCUUCCCUUCUCUCAACUCUUCCACUCCUCAGGGUGCCUCUUUGAGGUCACCCCCUAAAUAAACUUUGCACUCUCAAGUUUUGGUCUUGGAG